Molecule: ribosomal RNA, 540 nt
Filed under: uncultured bacterium
Lineage: Bacteria
Description: bacterial SSU rRNA
Rfam family: Bacterial small subunit ribosomal RNA
Source: RNAcentral
AAUAGAUACCCGGGUAGUCCACGCUGUAAACGAUGAGGACUAAAUGUUGGUAGGGGAACCUAUCGGUAUUGAAGCUAACGCGAUAAGUCUUCCGCCUGGGAAGUACGGCCGCAAGGUUGAAACUCAAAUGAAUUGACGGGGGCCCGCACAAGCGGUGGAGCAUGUGGUUUAAUUCGAUGCAACGCGAAGAACCUUACCUACCCUUGACAUCCUGCGAAUCCCGAUGAGAGUUGGGAGUGCCGCAAGGAGCGCAGAGACAGGUGCUGCAUGGCUGUCGUCAGCUCGUGUUGUGAGAUGUUGGGUUAAGUCCCGUAACGAGCGCAACCCUUGUCCUUAGUUGCCAGCAUUAAGUUGGGGACUCUAAGGAGACUGCCGGUGAGGAACCGGAGGAAGGCGGGGACGACGUCAAGUCAUCAUGGCCUUUAUGGGUAGGGCUACACACGUGCUACAAUGGGGCGUACAGAGGGUCGCGAACCCGCGAGGGGGAGCCAAUCUCAUAAAGUGUCUCGUAGUCCGGAUUGGAGUCUGCAACUCGACUCC